UUGUAAAAAAUUACAAAUUUUUUAAAAUCUCUCCAUAAAUUAAUAAUUAUUAAUUUAUCGAUAAAUUAAUACCUCUCUAAAUUAAUAAAUUUU
This 93-nucleotide small RNA is filed under the name Arabidopsis thaliana (thale cress). RNAcentral describes it as "ATSL196180". The record is from RNAcentral. Lineage: Eukaryota; Viridiplantae; Streptophyta; Magnoliopsida; Brassicales; Brassicaceae.